RNAcentral lists this long non-coding RNA (234 nucleotides) under Hordeum vulgare. Its description in RNAcentral is "long non-coding RNA (HVUL_LNC003989)". Lineage: Eukaryota; Viridiplantae; Streptophyta; Magnoliopsida; Poales; Poaceae. The record is from RNAcentral.
AUUGAGCCAUGUACAUUUUACAACUGGCCGCAUGAAUAACUUGCAGCGAGGAACCGUGUUACUAUAAUGUCGUGAAAGACUCAUUUACACGACAUGGCGCAUGUCCUCAAAGCCUUCAUACGCACACACUAUGUAUAUGGAAUGUUGCAAAAAUAUUGAAAUCAAGCUACGGAACUUGAUUCCUCGGAUCUCAGUCCGUGCUCGAAUCAUUCAGGCUUCCCAGCAGCUUCCAUC